Molecule: ribosomal RNA, 497 nt
Filed under: uncultured bacterium
Lineage: Bacteria
Description: partial 16S ribosomal RNA
Rfam family: Bacterial small subunit ribosomal RNA
Source: RNAcentral
GAUGAACGCUGGCGGCGUGCCUAAUACAUGCAAGUCGAGCGAACAGACGAGGAGCUUGCUCCUCUGACGUUAGCGGCGGACGGGUGAGUAACACGUGGAUAACCUACCUAUAAGACUGGGAUAACUUCGGGAAACCGGAGCUAAUACCGGAUAACAUGUUGAACCGCAUGAUUCAACAGUGAAAGACGGUUUUGCUGUCACUUAUAGAUGGAUCCGCGUCGCAUUAGCUAGUUGGUAAGGUAACGGCUUACCAAGGCAACGAUGCGUAGCCGACCUGAGAGGGUGAUCGGCCACACUGGAACUGAGCCACGGUCCAGACUCCUACGGGAGGCAGCAGUAGGGAAUCUUCCGCAAUGGGCGAAAGCCUGACGGAGCAACGCCGCGUGAGUGAAGAAGGUCUUCGGAUCGUAAAACUCUGUUAUUAGGUAAGAACAAAUGUGUAAGUAACUAUGCACGUCUUGACGGUACCUAAUCAGAAAGCCACGGCUAACUACGUG